RNAcentral lists this transfer RNA (77 nucleotides) under Lentisphaerae bacterium RIFOXYA12_FULL_60_10. RNAcentral describes it as "tRNA-Asp". It matches the Rfam family "tRNA". Rfam says of the family: Transfer RNA (tRNA) molecules are approximately 80 nucleotides in length. Lineage: Bacteria; Pseudomonadati; Lentisphaerota. RNAcentral also lists the same sequence under 4 other names. The record is from RNAcentral.
GGGGGCGUAGCUCAAUUGGUUAGAGUCCCAGAUUGUCGAUCUGGUUGUUGCGGGUUCGAGUCCCGUCGCUCCCGCCA